Non-coding RNA from Ciona savignyi (Pacific transparent sea squirt), 220 nucleotides. NCBI's taxonomy places the organism in Eukaryota, Metazoa, Chordata, Ascidiacea, Phlebobranchia, Cionidae. The record is from Rfam.
CAUUGAAAAAAUUAGAGUGUUCAAAGCAGGCUCUCGAGCCUGGAAAAUGGUGCAUGGAAUAAUGAAAGAGGACAUCGGUUCUAUUUUGUUGGUUUUCGGAGCGCGAGGUCAUGAUUAAGAGGCACAGACGGGGGCAUUCGAACUGUGCCGUUAGAGGUGAAAUUCUUCGAUCGGCGCAAGACGAAUGACAGCGAAGGCAUUCGCCAAGAAUGUUUUCUUU